AAUAUUUGACGCCGUUGACUUUUUUAAACAUGUUUGACCGUUCGUCUUAUUCAAAAAAUUUAAGUAAUUAUUAAUUUUUUCCCUAUCAUUUGAUUAAUUGUUAAAUAUAUACUUUUAUGUAUACAUAUAGUUUUACAUAUUUCACAAAAGUUUUUAAUAAGACGAACGGUCAAACACGUUUAAAAAAGUCAACAGCGUCAAAUAUU
This 206-nucleotide microRNA precursor is filed under the name Oryza nivara. RNAcentral describes it as "MIR812 microRNA precursor family". It matches the Rfam family "MIR812 microRNA precursor family". Lineage: Eukaryota; Viridiplantae; Streptophyta; Magnoliopsida; Poales; Poaceae. The record is from Rfam by way of RNAcentral.